UGAACGUAAAAAUUGAUCCUGCUGUUAAAGCUUGAAACUUGGAUCUAUUUUAUCUGAGUUCUCUCCUCAAAAAAAGACCUUCAGGAAGUAUCAGGUAACUGAAACAUACCAGAUCACAGCACCACAUGCCUCCUGCCCCUCCCUGAUUUCUGUUCUCUUAUACAUUGUUACAUUUCUUUCCUGCCCCUAUUAUCAAGCCAUGGAUUUGGGACUGAGCUCCCAGCUCCUGGGCUGCAGCACCAGGUUAAAGCUUUCUUCCUUGGCAGUACUUGUCACCUCAGUGACUGGCUUUUUCUCCGAUAAGCAGGAGGACUUAGACAAAACCCCUGGUGUUUGGUCAAGGAACUUAAUGCUCCCUAAAUCCAGAUAUUAAGGUUAAAAGAAGAGAAAGGAAAUGUGUGCAGAGAAAGUAUAUUUUACAAAUGAAUUAAAGAUUGAUUCCUAGAUACAGGUUUAUAGAUUUACCUAGAAUUUUGUGUUCAGGAAGCCAUCAUUCUUUAGAGGGCAAUGACCGAACAGUACCAGCAGAAGUUGAAGUACCAGCAGAAGGCUAAGAAGGGAUCAUGGCACAAGUUGCAGUUUCCACCCUGCCCAUUGAAGAUGAGUCCAUGGAAGAUGAGGAGUCCGUUGAAGAUGAGGAGUCUGUUGAAGAUGAGUCCAUGGAGAGCAGGAUGGUGGUGACACUGCUCAUAUAGCUCUCGAGUCCACA
This 709-nucleotide long non-coding RNA is filed under the name Pongo abelii (Sumatran orangutan). Its description in RNAcentral is "lincRNA". Lineage: Eukaryota; Metazoa; Chordata; Mammalia; Primates; Hominidae. The record is from RNAcentral.